CUCCUGGCCUCAAGCGAACCUUACACUUUGGCCUCCCAAAGUGCUGGGAUUAUAGGUGCAUGCCGCUGCACCUGGCACUUCUGAGCAGUGCUUGGAAGCCGCCUCCUGACGGGGGCUGGGGGUCAGAGUGGCCAGCUGAAUGCUGGGCCAUCAGGGUGAGGGGCGUCUUCUCCUCGUCCAUUGCCUGUUCUCCCAGGGCAGGUGGAAGGGGAAGGCCCUGCAUUGGGGUGGUGUGAAACAAGAUGAGAUGGUAAGAUCUGCUUUCACUUUAAAGGAACAUUUCUGGUUGUUGCUUGGAAAGAAGUGUCAGGGGCAAGAAUGCUGCAGGAGGGCUGGCCUGGAGGACAGGGUGGGACUGCGGGCUGGCUGCACGGGGGCAGGAGCCUGCGCUUGCGUCAGAGGUUCCUGAGAGGUUCGGGCUCUGGGGCAGAGGCCUGAGCAAGGGGACCUUGCUGGGGUGUCUCUGUCUUAGCCACGCUCGGUAUUUCUGGGUCCUGUGACCCACGUGUGAGCAGCCUAUGGUGCUGGUGGCACAGGGGAGGAAACCAAGGCAGGGAGUCUGUGGGGGCUGCUUGGCAGGGGACAGGCAGCUCCUGUGCUCACUGCUGUCCCACACCUGCAUGGAAACACAAACCCCGCCACGGAGCCCCCUCUCAUCUCUACAGGGCCUCCAGAGCGCCAUGUGCAAGGACUUCAUGGGCGGGGUGGGGUGGGGUCAGGAGUCUGCUGUGGGCUGGCCAGGCCCUGGCCCUCCCUGUCCCACCCUGCGCUGCCUCCAUGCACCUCUCAGGGCUGUCAUGGCUUUUCCUGUGGCUUCUGACAGGUAGAGUCAGCGAUGACGGCUUCAUAGCCAUUAAGCUCACGGCACUGGGGAGACCCCAGUUUCUGGUAAGUGCUAGAACCUUCCACCUGCAGAGUCUGGUGCUGUGCGAGAUCUCAGGGCAGCUGUGGGCAUCCACCAAAAACACAGGUGCCCAUGCCUUAGAGGCCUGAGCUGGCCACAGGGGCUGUGUGGGGGACUGGGUUGGGCAGGGGCGUGUGCAGAUGGCAUUCAGGCCUGCGUUUGCAGCUGCAGUUCUCAGAGGUGCUGGCCAAGUGGAGGUGCUUCUUUCACCAAAUGGCUGUGGAGCAAGGGCAGGCGGGCCUGGCUGCCAUGGACACCAAGCUGGAGGUGGCGGUGCUGCAGGAAAGUGUCGCAAAGAUGGGCAUCGCAUCCAGGGCUGAGAUUGAGGACUGGUUCACGGCAGAGACCCUGGGAGUGUCUGGCACCGUGGACCUGCUGGACUGGAGCAGCCUCAUCGACAGCAGGACCAAGCUGUCCAAGCACCUGGUAGUCCCCAACGCACAGACAGGACAGCUGGAGCCCCUGCUGUCCCGGUUCACUGAGGAGGAGGAGCUACAGAUGACGAGGAUGCUACAGCGGAUGGAUGUCCUGGCCAAGUUGCUCCCACUCUCCCACCCCCUGCGCCUCUCAGAAAGCCACAGAGAUGGGCGUGCGGCUGAUGGUGGAUGCCGAGCAGACCUACUUCCAGCCGGCCAUCAGCCGCCUGACGCUGGAGAUGCAGCGGAAGUUCAAUGUGGAGAAGCCGCUCAUCUUCAACACAUACCAGUGCUACCUCAAGGAUGCCUAUGACAAUGUGACCCUGGACGUGGAGCUGGCUCGCCGUGAGGGCUGGUGUUUUGGGGCCAAGCUGGUGCGGGGCGCAUACCUGGCCCAGGAGCGAGCCCGUGCGGCAGAGAUUGGCUAUGAGGACCCCAUCAACCCCACGUACGAGGCCACCAACGCCAUGUACCACAGGUGCCUGGACUACGUGCUGGAGGAGCUGAAGCACAACGCCAAGGCCAAGGUGAUGGUGGCCUCCCACAAUGAGGACACAGUGCGCUUCGCACUGCGCAGGAUGGAGGAGCUGGGCCUGCAUCCUGCUGACCACCAGGUGUACUUUGGACAGCUGCUAGGCAUGUGUGACCAGAUCAGCUUCCCGCUGGGUGAGUGGGGCCCUCCCUGGUGCGAUGGGGUACGGUGCUGGGCCUGGGCCUCAUGGUGUAUCUGCCCCCAUGCAGGCCAGGCCGGCUACCCCGUGUACAAGUACGUGCCCUAUGGCCCCGUGAUGGAGGUGCUGCCCUACUUGUCCCGCCGUGCCCUGGAGAACAGCAGCCUCAUGAAGGGCACCCAUCGGGAGCGGCAGCUGCUGUGGCUGGAGCUCUUGAGGCGGCUCCGAACUGGCAGCCUCUUCCAUCGCCCUGCCUAGCACCCGCCAGCCCACCCUCAGCCUCCAGCACCCCCGGCCCCCACCCAGGCCAUCACCACAACUGCAGCCAACCCCAUCCUCACACAGAUUCACCUUUUUUCACCCCACACUUGCAGAGCUGCUGGAGGUGGAGUCAGGUGCCUCCCAGCCCUGCCAAUGGUGGGGGCACUCAGGUGUGGGCUGACCCUGAUACCUGCCUGGGAUAGCCGCUGGUAACUGUUAGGAACUUUCCUCGGAUGUGUGGGCCCAAGGCCCCCACCUCUGUGACCCCCAUGUCCUUGGACCUAGAGGAUUGUCCACCUUCUGCCAAGGCCAGCCCACACAGCCCGAGCCCCUCGGGGAGCAGUGGCCGGGCUGGGGAGGCCUGCCUGGUCAAUAAACCACUGUUCCUGC
Molecule: small RNA, 2642 nt
Filed under: Pan troglodytes (chimpanzee)
Lineage: Eukaryota; Metazoa; Chordata; Mammalia; Primates; Hominidae
Description: retained intron
Source: RNAcentral